GAUGAACGCUGGCGGCGUGCUUAACACAUGCAAGUCGAACGGUGAAGCUCCAGCUUGCUGGCGUGGAUCAGUGGCGAACGGGUGAGUAACACGUGAGCAACCUGCCCCUGACUCUGGGAUAACAGCCGGAAACGGCUGCUAAUACCGGAUAUGCACCAUGAACGCAUGUUCUGUGGUGGGAAAGAUUUUUCGGUUGGGGAUGGGCUCGCGGCCUAUCAGCUUGUUGGUUAGGUAAUGGCUCACCAAGGCGUCGACGGGUAGCCGGCCUGAGAGGGUGACCGGCCACACUGGGACUGAGACACGGCCCAGACUCCUACGGGAGGCAGCAGUGGGGAAUAUUGCACAAUGGGCGAAAGCCUGAUGCAGCAACGCCGCGUGAGGGAUGACGGCCUUCGGGUUGUAAACCUCUUUUAGCAGGGAAGAAGCGAGAGUGACGGUACCUGCAGAAAAAGCGCCGGCUAACUACGUG
RNAcentral lists this ribosomal RNA (469 nucleotides) under uncultured bacterium. RNAcentral's name for it is "partial 16S ribosomal RNA". It matches the Rfam family "Bacterial small subunit ribosomal RNA", at positions 28 to 507 of the family's 1533-position model. The record is from RNAcentral.